This 315-nucleotide ribosomal RNA is filed under the name uncultured bacterium. RNAcentral's name for it is "bacterial SSU rRNA". It matches the Rfam family "Bacterial small subunit ribosomal RNA", at positions 28 to 326 of the family's 1533-position model. The record is from RNAcentral.
GACGAACGCUGGCGGCGUGCCUAACACAUGCAAGUCGAGCGGGAAUUUACCGAAUGAAGCUUCGGCGGAAUUCGGUAAAGGAUAGCGGCGGACGGGUGAGUAACGCGUGAGUAACCUGCCCUUAAGAGGGGAUAACACAUCGAAAGGUGUGCUAAUACCGCAUAACAUAUGCAAUCCGCAUGGAAGCAUAUCAAAGAUUUAUCGCUUAAAGGAUGGACUCGCGUCUGAUUAGAUAGUUGGCAGGGUAACGGCCUACCAAGUCGACGAUCAGUAGCCGAACUGAGAGGUUGAUCGGCCACACUUGGGACUGAGACA